This is a long non-coding RNA of Cyprinus carpio (common carp), 1483 nucleotides long. RefSeq lists it as uncharacterized. Lineage: Eukaryota; Metazoa; Chordata; Actinopteri; Cypriniformes; Cyprinidae. The record is from RefSeq and is a predicted model, not a curated record.
UGGAAGAAUUAAGAGGAAUGGGGAUAGAAAAUCUUACAAUUAAAACUGCUGCAUAAUGGAUUGAACCAUCAUAGAAUAUACAAUACAUUAAUGAGAUAAUUAAGAAAAGUAGGUCUGUUUAAUAGGAUUUAGAGGUUAAAGAGAAGGUUUUUUUUUUCUUACAUCACUGUUCCACACUCCAGCCCAGUAGGUGGUGGUAAUGCACCUAUCGUUUGUUUGCAAACCACCAUAAAACACCAAAAGAAGAAGAUGGUGUAGUUACUGCAUCUACCAGCAGAGGUGAAGCUUCCCAUGUCCCCUGUCCUUAAACAGAUUACACCAUGAUCCAGGAAGUUGCAUCAAUUUGGAGGGAAAACAGCACAAACAUCACAAGUUUCUGCAAUGAACUGGAGUUCGGCAAUCAAGCGUUUAUUUGGGCCACUCAACCAUCAGGAAUGAGAAUGUCAAAAUGAAAGAAAGUGACAAUAAAGCCAUGAUGUUUCCUGCUGAGACUUCCGAGGCCUUGACUGAUAAAGCUCAAUCAUUCAUGCAAUCCGUGGACCAAAAUACAGCAAGCUCUCCAAAACAACAACAUCACUUAUUCAACGGCUUCCAUUCCUGGGUUAGAUAUCAAAAUUCUGACAACUCAGAAGAUCACUUUUCAAAGCUAGCAGCUUCUGUGUUAGAUCAGCCCAGAUGUCAUUUUACCUGCAGCUUUUGGGCCAGCAUGAACCCAUCGACACUGCUUGUGUUCGCUUUGUUACCUGCACACCUUUUCAGAUGGAGCGGAAAAUAAAUGUGAGCUACACAGACAAAUGGACAAACUGUUAUUGUGCACCAGCAAAGAGAGACGAAUAAAGCGAGUAUAGGCAACAGACUCUGUAAAUCAGAGAAUGAUGGCCAAUCAUUUUCUCAAAGCUCUUUUCAAUGGAACGGCAAUGAACCUUUUUGGAGAAUCAUUAUGGUCGGUUAGCUGUUUUCUAUUUGGAAAAGUCACUAACACUUUUCAUUGUCACAAGAGAAGCUAUGAGACGAGAAGCUAAAGAUAUUUAGAACUCUAUGUGUGAAAGUUUACUGCAGUGAAGAGUUUUGUUUCUCUCCCUGAAGAGUCUGGUGCACUCCUAAUCGUUUGAUACAGUGCAGGUUGGAGUGUGAAGGGAGACAAACCUUACGAGGUGAUUUAUCUGUAUGGAUCGGCUGUCAAAGAGAUAAAUCGAGGGAGGCAUUGGGUGGAAACAUCACAUAGAGCAUUGUAUGUACCAGGCCUGGUUCUGGCAUCUGGAUAUAUUACACUGUAAUUUUUACAACCAGAACAACGGGCUCUGCUUUUGUAAACUGAGAGGUCAAAGUUAAAAACCUAAAAUGUAACACAAUGUCAUUUGUAUUUUAAUAGAAAUUGUUUCUAGUGUUUCCUUUUUGUACAGCAGUAUUGUUAUUAACUAAAACUAUUAAAAUAAUUUUCAGUAAUUGAAUUAAAGCUGAAAUAAGAUCAAAUAUAAAUAGA